UUUCCGUAGGUGACCUGCGGAAGGAUCAUUG
RNAcentral lists this ribosomal RNA (31 nucleotides) under Fagus grandifolia (American beech). Its description in RNAcentral is "partial 18S ribosomal RNA". RNAcentral also lists the same sequence under 3 other names. The record is from RNAcentral. Lineage: Eukaryota; Viridiplantae; Streptophyta; Magnoliopsida; Fagales; Fagaceae.